Molecule: non-coding RNA, 112 nt
Filed under: Pannonibacter phragmitetus
Lineage: Bacteria; Pseudomonadati; Pseudomonadota; Alphaproteobacteria; Hyphomicrobiales; Stappiaceae
Description: SAM-I-IV sequence
Rfam family: SAM-I/IV (S-adenosyl methionine) riboswitch aptamer
About the family: It is found upstream of a number of genes which code for proteins involved in methionine or cysteine biosynthesis.
Source: Rfam by way of RNAcentral
CCGCAUCAUCAAGAGAAGGGCUGGCGCCCUCGCCAACCUGCCCGGCCGGGCAAGGUGGUCCCCGCAAAGGGAUGUGGCCAUGGGGAAACCCAGGGCAACCAAGCGGUCAGAA